UAGGGAAUCUUCGGCAAUGGACGGAAGUCUGACCGAGCAACGCCGCGUGAGUGAAGAAGGUUUUCGGAUCGUAAAGCUCUGUUGUAAGAGAAGAACGAGUGUGAGAGUGGAAAGUUCACACUGUGACGGUAUCUUACCAGAAAGGGACGGCUAACUACGUGCCAGCAGCCGCGGUAAUACGUAGGUCCCGAGCGUUGUCCGGAUUUAUUGGGCGUAAAGCGAGCGCAGGCGGUUAGAUAAGUCUGAAGUUAAAGGCUGUGGCUUAACCAUAGUACGCUUUGGAAACUGUUUAACUUGAGUGCAAGAGGGGAGAGUGGAAUUCCAUGUGUAGCGGUGAAAUGCGUAGAUAUAUGGAGGAACACCGGUGGCGAAAGCGGCUCUCUGGCUUGUAACUGACGCUGAGGCUCGAAAGCGUGGGGAGCAAACAGGAUUAGAUACCCUGGUAGUCCACGCCGUAAACGAUGAGUGCUAGGUGUUAGACCCUUUCCGGGGUUUAGUGCCGUAGCUAACGCAUUAAGCACUCCGCCUGGGGAGUACGACCGCAAAGUUG
RNAcentral lists this ribosomal RNA (550 nucleotides) under uncultured bacterium. RNAcentral describes it as "bacterial SSU rRNA". It matches the Rfam family "Bacterial small subunit ribosomal RNA", at positions 355 to 896 of the family's 1533-position model. The record is from RNAcentral.